This is a long non-coding RNA of Gossypium arboreum, 409 nucleotides long. RefSeq lists it as uncharacterized. NCBI's taxonomy places the organism in Eukaryota, Viridiplantae, Streptophyta, Magnoliopsida, Malvales, Malvaceae. The transcript is spliced from 3 exons. The record is from RefSeq and is a predicted model, not a curated record.
UGAAGUUUUAUUAAAAGAAAAGGGUGAAAAGAACAAAGUUUUGUCCAUCUUUGUUCAUCAUAGCUGAAAGUUAGAGAAGAGAAAGGAGAGGAGAAAGCUCUUGAGUAUUCGGUCAUUAGGAGGAGGAAAAUUGAAGGCAGUUCGUGUGUGUGGAUCUCGUCAGCAUAUCGUCGCAAACAGGUAAUCCCCAACCAUAGUGGGCUUGGAGCUGUGAGGGAAUUCGGAGUGGCCACCCGUUCUGAAAGUUUGAUUUUCUUCUCGUGAACUGGACAUCCUUUUAUUUACGUUUGAAGUUUUUGGCCUUUUAAAUGUAAUAAGGCCACUUAAUUAUUUUUGAUGGUUUUAAUAUGUGUUACUAAGAUAGGUAAUACUUAUUUUAACUGUUGAAAUUGGAUAGCUUUAGGGCGCG